GACGAACGCUGGCGGCGUGCCUAAUACAUGCAAGUAGAACGCUGAAGGAGGAGCUUGCUUCUCUGGAUGAGUUGCGAACGGGUGAGUAACGCGUAGGUAACCUGCCUGGUAGCGGGGGAUAACUAUUGGGAACGAUAGCUAAUACCGCAUAAGAGUAGAUGUUGCAUGACAUUUGCUUAAAAGGUGCAAUUGCAUCACUACCAGAUGGACCUGCGUUGUAUUAGCUAGUUGGUGGGGUAACGGCUCACCAAGGCGACGAUACAUAGCCGACCUGAGAGGGUGAUCGGCCACACUGGGACUGAGACACGGCCCAGACUCCUACGGGAGGCAGCAGUAGGGAAUCUUCGGCAAUGGACGGAAGUCUGACCGAGCAACGCCGCGUGAGUGAAGAAGGUUUUCGGAUCGUAAAGCUCUGUUGUAAGAGAAGAACGAGUGUGAGAGUGGAAAGUUCACACUGUGACGGUAUCUUACCAGAAAGGGACGGCUAACUACGUGCCAGCAGCCGCGGUAAUACGUAGGUGGCAAGCGUUAUCCGGAUUUAUUGGGCGCAAAGAGAGUGCAGGCGGUUUUCUAAGUCUGAUGUGAAAGCCUUCGGCUUAACCGGAGAAGUGCAUCGGAAGCUGGAUAACUUGAGUGCAGAAGAGGGUAGUGGAACUCCAUGUGUAGCGGUGGAAUGCGUAGAUAUAUGGAAGAACACCAGUGGCGAAGGCGGCUACCUGGUCUGCAACUGACGCUGAGACUCGAAAGCAUGGGUAGCGAACAGG
Molecule: ribosomal RNA, 764 nt
Filed under: uncultured Streptococcus sp.
Lineage: Bacteria; Bacillati; Bacillota; Bacilli; Lactobacillales; Streptococcaceae
Description: bacterial SSU rRNA
Rfam family: Bacterial small subunit ribosomal RNA
Source: RNAcentral